This 452-nucleotide ribosomal RNA is filed under the name NC10 bacterium enrichment culture clone TH5-30. RNAcentral describes it as "bacterial SSU rRNA". It matches the Rfam family "Bacterial small subunit ribosomal RNA", at positions 977 to 1434 of the family's 1533-position model. Lineage: Bacteria; Methylomirabilota (SeqCode). The record is from RNAcentral.
GGGCUUGACAUCCCACGAACCUGCAGAGAUGCGGGAGUGCCCGAAAGGGAAUCGGAACACAGAUGCUGCAUGGCUAUCAUCAGCUCGUGUCGUGAGAUGUUGGGUUAAGUCCCGCAACGAGCGCAACCCUUAUCAUUAGUUGCUACGCAAGGGCACUCUGCGGAGACUGCCGGUGACAAACCGGAGGAAGGUGGGGAUGACGUCAAGUCCACAUGGCCUUUAUGUCCAGGGCCACACACGUGCUACAAUGGGCGGUACAAACCGUUGCGAUCCCGCGAGGGGGAGCUAAUCGGAGAAAGCCGCUCUCAGUUCGGAUUGCAGGCUGCAACUCGCCUGCAUGAAGUUGGAAUCGCUAGUAAUCGCGGAUCAGCACGCCGCGGUGAAUACGUUCCCGGGCCUUGUACACACCGCCCGUCACACCACGAAAGCCAGCUGUACUCGAAGUCGCUGAG